GGGGGUGCCUCCCACGCCUGCUGGGAGGAUGUGUUUAGUGUCAACUCUGCGGUCCAGACCCUGCCUGAUCACCCCGUUAAAGGCAGAGCAGUGGGCGCAGGUGCUAUGGCUUGAAGCAGGCCUGUCUGAAUUCUUAGCAGCGAUCUCCAAGGGCACCAUAACCUUGCAAGAAAGAGACUGCCGGGCCUGCAUCUCUUUCUGAUGCAGAAACCAGGGCCCGGAGAAGGUGAGUAAGCUGCUUAGAGCCACACAGCUGUGAGUAGCAGAUCCAAGCGCAACCUGUCUGUCCCAGGAGCUUGCAGGAUAGCUAGACCUUUGCUGCCUAGAAGGCCCUCUUGUGAGUCCCCUCCCUGGGCUCAGCAACCCAGGAGGGCAUGACUUCUGGCUGGGUCCUAGGGCUGGAGCCUCGGUGUCCUCUUGUCUUCUUUCCUUGUGCGACUUGGUUUUCCAGUCUGUGAAAUGGGGUGGGUGCGUCCAACUCCAAGCCUGUCUCUGCCCUGGGUCCUGGAGCCUGGAGGAGGAAUGAGGUCAUGUUUGUCUAGGGGCUAGAGCAUCUUG
This 558-nucleotide long non-coding RNA is filed under the name Rhinopithecus bieti (black snub-nosed monkey). Its description in RNAcentral is "lncRNA (ENSRBIG00000045148.1)". The record is from RNAcentral. Lineage: Eukaryota; Metazoa; Chordata; Mammalia; Primates; Cercopithecidae.